RNAcentral lists this ribosomal RNA (482 nucleotides) under uncultured bacterium. Its description in RNAcentral is "partial 16S ribosomal RNA". It matches the Rfam family "Bacterial small subunit ribosomal RNA", at positions 28 to 506 of the family's 1533-position model. The record is from RNAcentral.
GACGAACGCUGGCGGCGUGCUUAACACAUGCAAGUCGAACGCUGAAGCUCAGCUUUUGUUGGGUGGAUGAGUGGCGAGCGGGUGAGUAACACGUGAGUAACCUGCCCCCUUCUUUGGGAUAACGCCCGGAAACGGGUGCUAAUACUGGAUAUUCACUGGUCUUCGCAUGGGGGUUGGUGGAAAGGGUUUUUCUGGUGGGGGAUGGGCUCGCGGCCUAUCAGCUUGUUGGUGGGGUGAUGGCCUACCAAGGCUUUGACGGGUAGCCGGCCUGAGAGGGUGACCGGUCACAGUGGGACUGAGAUACGGCCCAGACUCCUACGGGAGGCAGCAGUGGGGAAUAUUGCACAAGGGGCGCAAGCCUGAUGCAGCGACGCCGCGUGAGGGAUGGAGGCCUUCGGGUUGUGAACCUCUUUCGCUCAUGGUCAAGCCGCAACAAUGGUUGUGGGGAGGGUAGUGGGUAAAGAAGCGCCGGCUAACUACGU